RNAcentral lists this transfer RNA (87 nucleotides) under Roseivivax halodurans JCM 10272. It matches the Rfam family "tRNA". Rfam says of the family: Transfer RNA (tRNA) molecules are approximately 80 nucleotides in length. Their secondary structure includes four short double-helical elements and three loops (D, anti-codon, and T loops). Lineage: Bacteria; Pseudomonadati; Pseudomonadota; Alphaproteobacteria; Rhodobacterales; Roseobacteraceae. The record is from Rfam by way of RNAcentral.
GGACAGGUGGCAGAGCGGUCGAAUGCACCGGUUUCGAAAACCGGCGAGCCUGCAAGGGCUCCGUGGGUUCGAACCCCACCCUGUCCG